Molecule: long non-coding RNA, 255 nt
Filed under: Elaeis guineensis (African oil palm)
Lineage: Eukaryota; Viridiplantae; Streptophyta; Magnoliopsida; Arecales; Arecaceae
Description: long non-coding RNA (EGUI_LNC060270)
Source: RNAcentral
AAUAACUGUUAGGUGAGGUGGUGAGCCAGUCGGUGAGACCACACCACCCACUAGAAAUCACUAAUCACGGAGAUUUUUACAUCUCUACCUAGAGAGUGUAGGGAUUUGAGAAAAUAGUGGGAGCCUAAUUUGUUUAAAAAUGAAACUCUUAAACAAAUUGGUUAAGUCUGAUUACAAAAUCUAACUAGAAAUUUUUGACUCUCUACAGAAAAUAUGUCUGCAUCCAACUCCCUGACCAAAAUACUAGACACCCAC